This 1446-nucleotide ribosomal RNA is filed under the name Streptomyces roseolus. Its description in RNAcentral is "bacterial SSU rRNA". It matches the Rfam family "Bacterial small subunit ribosomal RNA". The record is from RNAcentral. Lineage: Bacteria; Bacillati; Actinomycetota; Actinomycetes; Kitasatosporales; Streptomycetaceae.
AAAAAAAAUCACUACGAGUGCUUACCUGCAGUCGAACGAUGAAGCCCUUUUGGGUGUAUUAGUGGCGAACGGGUGAGUAACACGUGGGUAAUCUGCCCUUUACUCUGGGACAAGCCCUGCAAACGGGGUCUAAUACCGGAUACUACUGCGGGAGGCAUCUCCUGUGGUGGAAAGCUCCGGUGGUGAAGGAUGAGCCCGCGGUCUAUCAGCUUGUUGGUGGGGUAAUGGCCUACCAAGGCGACGACGGGUAGCCGGCCUGAGAGGGCGACCGGCCACACUGGGACUGAAACACGGCCCAGACUCCUACGGGAGGCAGCAGUGGGGAAUAUUGCACAAUGGGCGAAAGCCUGAUGCACCGACGCCGCGUGAGGGAUGACGGCCUUCGGGUUGUAAACCUCUUUCAUGAGGGAAGAAACGAAAGUGACGGUACCUGCCCAAGAAGCUCCGGCUACCUACGUGCCAGCAGCCGCGUAAAUACGUACGGCGCAAGCGUUGUCCGGAAUUAUUGGGCGUAAAGAGCUCGUAUGCGGCUUGUCACGUCGGGUGUGAAAGCCCGGGGCUUAACCCCGGGUCUGCAUCCGAUACGGUCAGGAUAUAGUGUGGUAGGGGAGAUCGUAAUUCCUGGUGUAGCGAUGAAAUGUUCCGAUAUCAGGAGGAACACCGGUGGAGAAGGCGGAUCUCUGGGCCAUUACUGACGCUGACGAGCGAAAGCGUGGAGAGUCAACAGGAUUAGAUACCCUAGUAGUCCACGCCGUAUACGUUGGGAACUAGCGUGCCUGGCGACAUGUCCACGUACGUCGGUGCCGCAGCCUAACGCAUUAAGUUCCCCGCCUGGGGAGUACGCCCGCAAGGUUAAAACUCAAAGGAAUUGACGGGGGCCCGCACAAGCAGCGGAGCAUGUGGCUUAAUUCGACGCAACGCGAAGAACCUUACCAAGGCUUGACAUAUACCGGAAAGCAUCAGAGAUGGUGCCCCCCUUGUGGUCGGUAUACAGGUGGUGCAUGGCUGUCGUCAGCUCGUGUCGUGAGAUGUUGGGUUAAGUCCCGCAACGAGCGCAACCCUUGUCCUGUGUUCCCAGCAUGCCCUUAGGGGUGAUGGGGACUCACAGGAGACCGCCGGGGUCAACUCGGAGGAAGGUGGGGGGGACGUCAAGUCAUCAUGCCCCUUAUGUAUUGGGCUGCACACGUGCUACAAUGACCGGCACAAAGAGCUGCGAUGCCGCGAGGCGGAGCGAAUCUCAAAAAGCCGGUCUCAGUUAGGAUUGGGGUCAGCAACUAGACCCCAUGAAGUCGGAGUUGAUAGUAAUUGCAGAUCAACAUUCAUGCGGUGAAUACGUUCCCGGCCCUUGUACACCCCGCCCGUCACGUCACGAAAGUCGGUAACACCCGAAGCCGGUGGCCCAACCCCUAAGGAGGGAGCUUCGAAGGUGACGAUUAAUAAAAUAUU